AUUGUUAAGCUACUAAGGGUGUACGGUGAAUGCCCUGGCAUCAGCAGGCGAUGAAGGACGUAGCUAGCUGCGAUAAGCCGCGGGAAGCCGCAAGCAGGCCGUGAUCCGCGGAUGUCCGAAUGGGGAAACCCAGGCGAUGAAUGCCGCCUAUCCGCGUCUGAAUCCAUAGGACGCGAGAAGCCCACGCAGGGAAGUGAAACAUCUCAGUACCUGCAGGAAUAGAAAUCAAUCGAGAUUCCCCUAGUAGUGGCGAGCGAAAAGGGAACAGCCUAAACCACAGUGAUGUCAAGCCCGUGUGCGUUGUCGCUGUGGUGUUGUAGGGCUCUGUCGGACGGUGAUACGGCGCCGUCGGCAAGUCAAAAAUUAGGAUCUUAGUCGAACGGUCUGGAAAGGCCGGCCAUAGAAGGUGACAGCCCUGUAGGCGACAAGACCCUAACUUGCUGGAUGGAGUUCCUGAGUACCACGGGGCUCGAGCAACCCUGUGGGAAUCCGGGACGACCACGUUCCAAGGCUAAAUACUCGCUGAUGACCGAUAGCGUACCAGUACCGUGAGGGAAAGGUGAAAAGAACCCCGGUGAGGGGAGUGAAAUAGAACCUGAAACCGUAUACCUACAAGCAGCGAGAGGGCUAUGCCCGCAAGGGAAUGCCUGAUCGCGUGCCUUUUGCUUAAUGAGCCUGCGAGUUAUCUUGCGUAGCAAGGUUAAGGCGGAAAGCCGGAGCCGUAGCGAAAGCGAGUCCGAAUUGGGCAUAUAGUUGCGUAGGAUAGACCCGAAGCGAAGUGAUCUACCCAUGGCCAAGGCGAAUCCGCCGUAACAGGCGGAGGAGGCCUGAACUGAUGUUUGUUGCAAAAAGCUCGGAUGAGCUGUGGGUAGGGGUGAAAGGCCAAACAAACUUCGUAAUUGCUGGUUCUCCCCGAAAUGUCUAGAGGGACAGCCUCGUGUCAGCCGUAACGGAGGUAGAGCACUGAAUGGGCUAGGGGCGUUCCAACGCUACUGAACCCAAUCAAACUCCGAAUGCCGUUACUGGACGCACGGGAGUGAGACUACGAGUGCUAAGAUCCGUGGUCAAAAGGGAAAUAGCCCAGACCGUCAGCUAAGGUCCCUAAGUGCAUGCUAAGUGGGAAAGGUUGUAACGUCGCUCAGACAGCCAGGAGGUUGGCUUAGAAGCAGCCAUCCUUUAAAGAGUGCGUAAUAGCUCACUGGUCGAGCGAUGGUGCGCCGAAAAUAUAACGGGGCUUAAGUAUGUCACCGAAGCUACGGACUUUCCUCGCAAGAGGUGAGUGGUAGGGGAGCAUUCUCUGUGCGGUGAAGGUUGACCGACAAGGACAGCUGGAGCGCAGAGAAGAGAUUAUGCAGGCAUAAGUAGCGAUAAUUGAUGUGAGAAUCAUCAACCCCGUAAACCUAAGGUUUCCUGGCCUAUGUUCGUCAGGUCAGGGUGAGUCGGAUCCUAAGCCGAGGCCGAAAGGCGUAGGCGAUGGUAAACAGGUCAAUAUUCCUGUACCACAGUGAUGGCGUUAUCAGCGAAGGGGGGGUGCAGAAGGGUAGGCACCGCCGGGUCCCUGGAAUACCCGGUCUAAGCGUGUAGGCGGGUCUUGUAGGCAAAUCCGCGAGACCAUUAACGCUGAGACGUGAUGGGGAGGCCGCAAGGCCAUAAACGGGCUGAUCCCAUGCUGCCAAGAAAAGCCUCGUAGCGAGUCAUCAUUGUGUCCGUACCGCAAACCGACACAGGUAGGUAGGUGGAAUACACUAAGGGGCGUGAGAGAACACUUCCUAAGGAACUAUGCAAUUUAGCCCCGUAACUUCGGGAGAAGGGGUGCCACGCGUAGGUAAGUCUGUACAAG
RNAcentral lists this ribosomal RNA (1840 nucleotides) under Nitrospira sp. WS110. RNAcentral's name for it is "partial 23S ribosomal RNA". It matches the Rfam family "Bacterial large subunit ribosomal RNA", at positions 1 to 1775 of the family's 2925-position model. Lineage: Bacteria; Pseudomonadati; Nitrospirota; Nitrospiria; Nitrospirales; Nitrospiraceae. The record is from RNAcentral.